Molecule: ribosomal RNA, 231 nt
Filed under: uncultured bacterium
Lineage: Bacteria
Description: partial 16S ribosomal RNA
Rfam family: Bacterial small subunit ribosomal RNA
Source: RNAcentral
CGGGUGAGUAACGCGUGGGUAACCUGCCUUAUACAGGGGGAUAACAGUCAGAAAUGGCUGCUAAUACCGCAUAAGCGCACAGAGCUGCAUGGCUCAGUGUGAAAAACUCCGGUGGUAUAAGAUGGACCCGCGUUGGAUUAGCUAGUUGGUGGGGUAACGGCCCACCAAGGCGACGAUCAGUAGCCGACCUGAGAGGGUGACCGGCCACAUUGGGACUGAGACACGGCCCAA